This 688-nucleotide non-coding RNA is filed under the name Pongo abelii (Sumatran orangutan). The record is from RNAcentral. Lineage: Eukaryota; Metazoa; Chordata; Mammalia; Primates; Hominidae.
GGUGGGCGGAUGCCUACCCGAGAGACCAGGAGAGCUAAGUGAUUGAUGGAGCUUCCGGAAGUCUUGGCGGCUGUACCGGCGCUAAUGUUCCUCCUUUUCCUGAGGUGGAGUGGGCCCAAGCGGUGGUCAGGUUUUCUAAUCACAGAAUUACUGGAGCGUCAAGAAGCGCCUGCAUGCUUGGAAGGGCUUCCAGGCAGAUGAACACACCUCAGCACCGGGUGGCAGUUUCCCAGGGUGCAACCCGGACCGGCUCUGGGUCACACUGACAAGGAUAACAAGGAUUAACAAUUUCCAGAGACAGCCCGUACAUAGAGGGAAAGUUUACUGAAAAAAAUGAAGAGGGGUCAGGGCAAGGCGAGGAGCAAGAAGCAUCCCCAAGGAAACAGAGAAGACCAGUACAACUGUACCUCUUUGCCAGCUGCACCAUCCGUACCAGGUGGCACGUUCUAGAGGCCAUAGCCUCUGUUCUGGUCAUCUCCAGUCUCCUGGGGUGGGAGUGUACAGCUCAGAGACUGCCACACUGCAAGACGAAGGGGCUGGAUGGACGGAAGUAAGAGGCGGAACCCUGCACACCCUCGGCCUCAGCCCCACUGAGUCUCCAAUGGGGCCACGCUUCUGAGUGCACCUCCCCCUGUCAUCUGUAAUGUGAGGGGGAACCAGGCUUGAUAUGGCAUUCCCAAUCCAGGGC